GACGAACGCUGGCGGCAGGCUUAACACAUGCAAGUCGAACGCCCCGCAAGGGGAGUGGCAGACGGGUGAGUGACGCGUGGGAAUCUACCGUGCCCUGCGGAAUAGCUCCGGGAAACUGGAAUUAAUACCGCAUACGCCCUACGGGGAAAGAUUUAUCGGGGUAUGAUGAGCCCGCGUUGGAUUAGCUAGUUGGUGGGGUA
Molecule: ribosomal RNA, 200 nt
Filed under: uncultured bacterium
Lineage: Bacteria
Description: partial 16S ribosomal RNA
Rfam family: Bacterial small subunit ribosomal RNA
Source: RNAcentral